AUUGAACGCUGGCGGCAGGCCUAACACAUGCAAGUCGAACGAGUGGCGGACGGGUGAGUAAUGUCUGGGAAACUGCCUGAUGGAGGGGGAUAACUACUGGAAACGGUAGCUAAUACCGCAUACCAUCAGAUGUGCCCAGAUGGGAUUAGCUUGUUGGUGGGGUAACGGCUCACCAAGGCGACGAUCCCUAGCUGGUCUGAGAGGAGGACCGGCCAAACUGGAACUGGGACACGGUCCAGACUCCUACGGGAGGCAGCAGUGGGGAAUAUUGGACAAUGGGCGAAAGCCGGAUACAGCCAUGCGGGGUGUAUGAGGAGGGCCUUGGGGUUUUAAAGUACUUUCAGCGGGGAGGCGUUACCCGCAGAAGAAGCACCGGCUAACUCCGUGCCAGCCGCCGCGGUAAUAC
RNAcentral lists this ribosomal RNA (406 nucleotides) under uncultured bacterium. RNAcentral describes it as "partial 16S ribosomal RNA". It matches the Rfam family "Bacterial small subunit ribosomal RNA", at positions 30 to 526 of the family's 1533-position model. The record is from RNAcentral.